This 339-nucleotide ribosomal RNA is filed under the name uncultured Pelotomaculum sp. Its description in RNAcentral is "bacterial SSU rRNA". It matches the Rfam family "Bacterial small subunit ribosomal RNA", at positions 1042 to 1382 of the family's 1533-position model. Lineage: Bacteria; Bacillati; Bacillota; Clostridia; Eubacteriales; Desulfotomaculaceae. The record is from RNAcentral.
UGCAUGGUUGUCGUCAGCUCGUGUCGUGAGAUGUUGGGUUAAGUCCCGCAACGAGUCGCAACCCUUGUCUUAGUUGCCAUCAUUAAGUUGGGCACUCUAAAGAGACUGCCGAUGACAAAUCGGAGGAAGUGGGAUGACGUCAAAUCAUCAUGCCCCUUAUGUUCUGGGCUACACACGUGCUACAAUGGCCGGUACAGACGGAGGCGAAGCCGCGAGGCGGAGCAAAUCCGAAAAAAGCCGGUCUCAGUUCGGAUUGCAGGCUGCAAUUCGCCUGCAUGAAGUCGGAAUCGCUAGUAAUCGCAGGUCAGCAUACUGCGGUGAAUACGGUUCCCGGGCCUU